This 265-nucleotide ribosomal RNA is filed under the name uncultured archaeon. RNAcentral describes it as "partial 16S ribosomal RNA". It matches the Rfam family "Archaeal small subunit ribosomal RNA", at positions 718 to 982 of the family's 1478-position model. The record is from RNAcentral.
AGUUCACUGACAUUAGAUACCCGGUAGUCCUAGCCGUAAACGAUGCGGACUUGGUGUUGGGGUGGCUUUGAGCUGUUUCGGUGCCGUAGGGAAGCUGUUAGGUCUGCUACUUGGGGAGUACGUCCGCAAGGAUGAAACUUAAAGGAAUUGGCGGGGGAGCACCGCUACGGGAGGAGCGUGCGGUUUAAUUGGAUUCAACACCGUAAAACUCACCAGGGAAGACUGUUACAUGAAGGCCGAGAUGAAGACUCUGCUAGAUUUUCAG